Molecule: ribosomal RNA, 428 nt
Filed under: uncultured Acidobacterium sp.
Lineage: Bacteria; Pseudomonadati; Acidobacteriota; Terriglobia; Terriglobales; Acidobacteriaceae
Description: bacterial SSU rRNA
Rfam family: Bacterial small subunit ribosomal RNA
Source: RNAcentral
AACGCGAAGAACCUUACCUGGGCUCGAAAUGCUAUGGACCAGCUGGUGAAAGCCGGCCUUCCCGCAAGGGACCGUAGUAUAGGUGCUGCAUGGCUGUCGUCAGCUCGUGUCGUGAGAUGUUGGGUUAAGUCCCGCAACGAGCGCAACCCUUGUCCUGUGUUGCCAUCAUUCAGUUGGGAACUCGCAGGAGACCGCCAGGGAUAACCUGGAGGAAGGUGGGGAUGACGUCAAGUCCUCAUGGCCUUUAUGUCCAGGGCUACACACGUGCUACAAUGGACGGUACAAAGGGCUGCCAACCCGCAAGGGGGAGCCAAUCCCAAAAAACCGUUCUCAGUUCGGAUUGCAGGCUGCAACUCGCCUGCAUGAAGCUGGAAUCGCUAGUAAUGGCGGAUCAGAACGCCGCCGUGAAUACGUUCCCGGGCCUUGUA